Molecule: long non-coding RNA, 771 nt
Organism: Vitis vinifera (wine grape)
Lineage: Eukaryota; Viridiplantae; Streptophyta; Magnoliopsida; Vitales; Vitaceae
Exons: 3
Source: RefSeq, a predicted model, not a curated record
UCUGCCACCGCCACUAUCCAUUCUCUCUCUGUUUUUUCUUCUUUCCUCCUUCCUAUUUCUUUCCCGUUCUCUCUCCAUACCCAUGCCACUCACCCAUCUCAACAAUACCGCGACUAUCAAUCCGGUGACGCCACCAAUCGACGUUGUCUUUCUCUUUCUCUCUCUCUCUCCAUUUUUUUCCCUCUCUCACUCUCUCACCUUCCCAUCUUCACCAUGCCAUCCCUCGUCGUCACUGUUGGCUACGCCAACCACAGUCGGCUGCACACCAUUCCUACGAUCCCACUACGGCAACCUCUUCUGCCAUCAUUCUCAUCGUCCACCAUUGACAACCACUUGUCGCCACCCAUAUUAGCUCCACCACACCUUCUCUUCAUGCGCCACCUAUGGUCGUCAUUACUUAUUCAGACGAUGGGUUUGUGGAUAGGGGUCUCCUUCUCGGCAGUGACAACACAACGAUCAACAUGAGAGGUUUGAGAUAGAGGUGUUGGUGAUUUUGGGGUCUUUCUAAAGGGCAGUGCCUUGAAGAUUAAUGCUAGAGAUAUGGUAUUCAAGAAAUAUAGCAAAAAGAAGAAGAAGAUGAAGAAUUAGUGACCACCUCUUACGAAUAUAGUAUUGUACUUUUCAAUUUAAGUUUAUAUAUUAUCUUAAUUGAAUGUUUGUAAUUAGUUUUUUUUUUUUUUUUGUAGAUAGAAAAGAGAGAGUAAGUAGAAAAAGAUUUAUUCCAUUGUGUUUUUAAUAUUCAAAUGUAUAUAUAAUAAUUUUUUCCCUUGA